RNAcentral lists this ribosomal RNA (465 nucleotides) under Moraxella sp. canine oral taxon 396. Its description in RNAcentral is "bacterial SSU rRNA". It matches the Rfam family "Bacterial small subunit ribosomal RNA", at positions 9 to 488 of the family's 1533-position model. Lineage: Bacteria; Pseudomonadati; Pseudomonadota; Gammaproteobacteria; Moraxellales; Moraxellaceae. The record is from RNAcentral.
GAGUUUGAUCAUGGCUCAGAUUGAACGCUGGCGGCAGGCUUAACACAUGCAAGUCGAACGAUGAUUACUAGCUUGCUAGUAUGAUUAGUGGCGAACGGGUGAGUAAUGCUUAGGAAUCUGCCUAUUAGUGGGGGACAACGUUCCGAAAGGGACGCUAAUACCGCAUACGUCCUACGGGAGAAAGCAGGGGAUCGCAAGACCUUGCGCUAAUAGAUGAGCCUAAGUCGGAUUAGCUAGUUGGUGGGGUAAAGGCCUACCAAGGCGACGAUCUGUAGCUGGUUUGAGAGGAUGAUCAGCCACACUGGGACUGAGACACGGCCCAGACUCCUACGGGAGGCAGCAGUGGGGAAUAUUGGACAAUGGGCGAAAGCCUGAUCCAGCCAUGCCGCGUGUGUGAAGAAGGCCUUUUGGUUGUAAAGCACUUUAAGUGGGGAGGAAAAGCUAAUGGUUAAUACCCAUUAGCCC